This 107-nucleotide ribosomal RNA is filed under the name Pteropus alecto (black flying fox). The record is from RNAcentral. Lineage: Eukaryota; Metazoa; Chordata; Mammalia; Chiroptera; Pteropodidae.
UUCUAGGUACUAUCACUUAAUUAAAAGUUCUUAUGGAAGCUAAGCAGGGUCGGGCCUGGUAAGUACUUGGAUGGGAGACCACCUGGGAAGACCAGGUGCUGUAGGUG